UACGGAGGGAGCUAGCGUUGUUCGGAAUUACUGGGCGUAAAGCGCACGUAGGCGGCUAUUCAAGUCGGGGGUGAAAGCCCGGGGCUCAACCCCGGAAUUGCCCUCGAAACUAGAUAGCUAGAAUCUUGGAGAGGCGAGUGGAAUUCCGAGUGUAGAGGUGAAAUUCGUAGAUAUUCGGAAGAACACCAGUGGCGAAGGCGACUCGCUGGACAAGUAUUGACGCUGAGGUGCGAAAGCGUGGGGAGCAAACAGG
Molecule: ribosomal RNA, 253 nt
Filed under: uncultured bacterium
Lineage: Bacteria
Description: partial 16S ribosomal RNA
Rfam family: Bacterial small subunit ribosomal RNA
Source: RNAcentral